CCUACGUGAGGCAGCAGUGGGGAAUAUUGGACAAUGGGCGAAAGCCUGAUCCAGCCAUGCCGCGUGUGUGAAGAAGGCCUUCGGGUUGUAAAGCACUUUCAGUGGGGAAGAAAGCCUUGGGGCUAAUACCCUCGAGGAAGGACAUCACCCACAGAAGAAGCACCGGCUAACUCCGUGCCAGCAGCCGCGGUAAUACGGAGGGUGCGAGCGUUAAUCGGAAUUACUGGGCGUAAAGCGCGCGUAGGCGGUCUGAUAAGCCGGUUGUGAAAGCCCCGGGCUCAACCUGGGAACGGCAUCCGGAACUGUCAGGCUAGAGUGCAGGAGAGGAAGGUAGAAUUACCGGUGUAGCAGUGAAAUGCGUAGAGAUCGGGAGGAAUACCAGUGGCGAAGGCGGCCUUCUGGACUGACACUGACGCUGAGGUGCGAAAGCGUGGGUAGCGAACAGGAUUAGAUACCCCAGUAGUC
Molecule: ribosomal RNA, 465 nt
Filed under: Vreelandella stevensii
Lineage: Bacteria; Pseudomonadati; Pseudomonadota; Gammaproteobacteria; Oceanospirillales; Halomonadaceae
Description: partial 16S ribosomal RNA
Rfam family: Bacterial small subunit ribosomal RNA
Source: RNAcentral